This 296-nucleotide unclassified non-coding RNA is filed under the name Melitaea cinxia (Glanville fritillary). RNAcentral's name for it is "misc RNA ENSMCXG00005021569.1". Lineage: Eukaryota; Metazoa; Arthropoda; Insecta; Lepidoptera; Nymphalidae. The record is from RNAcentral.
AUGUAUGUUACACCAGAACUUUUGACUCGGUGGAGCGAUUUCGACAAAUUUUCUUUCAAUCGAAAGGUGGUGUGUGCCAAUUGGUCCCAUUUAAAUUUAUUUGAGAUCUAACAACUACUUUUCGAGUUAUAUCUAAUAAUGCGUUUUUACUUGACGCUUUUUUCGUCGACCUACGUUGUAUUAUACCCCAUUACUUUCUACUGGAUGUACCGAUUUUGCCAAUUCUUUUUUUUGUUGGAAAGGAGAUAUCCCAAGUGUAAUAUCAUGAUAAGGAAACCAGGAUCUGAUGAUGGGAU